This 356-nucleotide long non-coding RNA is filed under the name Sphaeramia orbicularis (orbiculate cardinalfish). Its description in RNAcentral is "lncRNA (ENSSORG00005004262.1)". Lineage: Eukaryota; Metazoa; Chordata; Actinopteri; Kurtiformes; Apogonidae. The record is from RNAcentral.
AUUUUUAUUCAUUCUAUUCUGUUCUAUUCUAUUGUCUUCUCCUCUUUUCUUCUCUUCAUGUUUUUUAUGCUCUGUUUCUCUUCUUCGUGUACAGACUCUGAACUCAGUUCUUUCCUGGCGUCGUCUACGGACACAACCACUGAUGACAGAUGGAUGGAGGUGUGUCGUAGACACUACUGCAGAGUCCUGAGCACCGACCCAGACAUGUUAACAGGAACGGUGCUGUGUGAACUUCUGCAGAAGGUUGUGACCCAUUUAUCCAGCUCUGCCACCGAGCGCUUCUUCUCCCAGGCUCCGUCCAAAGCGGAGGAGCAGAGUGUGCAGAACGUGGUGUUAUCAUCGGUGGAACAUCUGGG